This 253-nucleotide ribosomal RNA is filed under the name uncultured bacterium. RNAcentral's name for it is "partial 16S ribosomal RNA". It matches the Rfam family "Bacterial small subunit ribosomal RNA", at positions 524 to 776 of the family's 1533-position model. The record is from RNAcentral.
UACGUAGGGUCCGAGCGUUGUCCGGAGUUACUGGGCGUAAAGCGCGCGCAGGCGGCCCGCGAGGUGUCACGUGAAAGCCCCGGGCUCAACUCGGGAGGGUCGUGGCAAACCGGCGGGCUUGAGGCCGGUAGAGGUGGGUGGAACUCCUGGUGGAGUGGUGAAAUGCGUAGAGAUCAGGAAGAACACCCGUGGCGAAGGCGGCCCACUGGGCCGGUACUGACGCUGAGGCGCGAAGGCGUGGGGAGCGAACGGG